Molecule: ribosomal RNA, 1000 nt
Filed under: Bacillus sp. (in: firmicutes)
Lineage: Bacteria; Bacillati; Bacillota; Bacilli; Caryophanales; Bacillaceae
Description: bacterial SSU rRNA
Rfam family: Bacterial small subunit ribosomal RNA
Source: RNAcentral
GCUUGCUCCCGGAUGUUAGCGGCGGACGGGUGAGUAACACGUGGGUAACCUGCCUGUAAGACUGGGAUAACUCCGGGAAACCGGAGCUAAUACCGGAUAGUUCCUUGAACCGCAUGGUUCAAGGAUGAAAGACGGUUUCGGCUGUCACUUACAGAUGGACCCGCGGCGCAUUAGCUAGUUGGUGAGGUAACGGCUCACCAAGGCGACGAUGCGUAGCCGACCUGAGAGGGUGAUCGGCCACACUGGGACUGAGACACGGCCCAGACUCCUACGGGAGGCAGCAGUAGGGAAUCUUCCGCAAUGGACGAAAGUCUGACGGAGCAACGCCGCGUGAGUGAUGAAGGUUUUCGGAUCGUAAAGCUCUGUUGUUAGGGAAGAACAAGUGCAAGAGUAACUGCUUGCACCUUGACGGUACCUAACCAGAAAGCCACGGCUAACUACGUGCCAGCAGCCGCGGUAAUACGUAGGUGGCAAGCGUUGUCCGGAAUUAUUGGGCGUAAAGGGCUCGCAGGCGGUUUCUUAAGUCUGAUGUGAAAGCCCCCGGCUCAACCGGGGAGGGUCAUUGGAAACUGGGAAACUUGAGUGCAGAAGAGGAGAGUGGAAUUCCACGUGUAGCGGUGAAAUGCGUAGAGAUGUGGAGGAACACCAGUGGCGAAGGCGACUCUCUGGUCUGUAACUGACGCUGAGGAGCGAAAGCGUGGGGAGCGAACAGGAUUAGAUACCCUGGUAGUCCACGCCGUAAACGAUGAGUGCUAAGUGUUAGGGGGUUUCCGCCCCUUAGUGCUGCAGCUAACGCAUUAAGCACUCCGCCUGGGGAGUACGGUCGCAAGACUGAAACUCAAAGGAAUUGACGGGGGCCCGCACAAGCGGUGGAGCAUGUGGUUUAAUUCGAAGCAACGCGAAGAACCUUACCAGGUCUUGACAUCCUCUGACAACCCUAGAGAUAGGGCUUUCCCUUCCGGGACAGAGUGACAGGUGGUUGCAUGGGUGUCGUCAGCCC